Molecule: long non-coding RNA, 231 nt
Filed under: Gossypium barbadense (sea-island cotton)
Lineage: Eukaryota; Viridiplantae; Streptophyta; Magnoliopsida; Malvales; Malvaceae
Description: long non-coding RNA (GBAR_LNC011274)
Source: RNAcentral
GGGCUUGGUGAAGGGAUGAAACUUGGUGUGAUGGAGAUGAGCAAGAUGAACAAUCGAAGUUGAGCGGUUAAUCGAUAAGUGAAAGGAAUCAUAAUCAGAAUUUAAAAACGAAAAAUAGCAUUGCCGGAAUCUGGGAUUUAUCGUCAGAAUCUGGAAAUUUAUGAAUUUUCCAGCAACAAUAUGAAAUUUUCGCGGGCCGGAGUUUAUGUUCUACGAACAAGGACAGAAAAA